CUGGCUCAGGACGAACGCUGGCGGCGUGCUUAACACAUGCAAGUCGAACGGUAAGGCCCUUCGGGGUACACGAGUGGCGAACGGGUGAGUAACACGUGGGUAAUCUGCCCUGCACAUCGGGAUAAGCCUGGGAAACUGGGUCUAAUACCGAAUAGGACCACAGAACACAUGUCCUGUGGUGGAAAGCUUUUGCGGUGUGGGAUGGGCCCGCGGCCUAUCAGCUUGUUGGUGGGGUGAUGGCCUACCAAGGCGACGACGGGUAGCCGGCCUGAGAGGGUGUCCGGCCACACUGGG
RNAcentral lists this ribosomal RNA (294 nucleotides) under Mycobacterium gordonae. RNAcentral's name for it is "partial 16S ribosomal RNA". It matches the Rfam family "Bacterial small subunit ribosomal RNA", at positions 19 to 317 of the family's 1533-position model. Lineage: Bacteria; Bacillati; Actinomycetota; Actinomycetes; Mycobacteriales; Mycobacteriaceae. The record is from RNAcentral.